Molecule: long non-coding RNA, 890 nt
Organism: Eptesicus fuscus (big brown bat)
Lineage: Eukaryota; Metazoa; Chordata; Mammalia; Chiroptera; Vespertilionidae
Exons: 5
Source: RefSeq, a predicted model, not a curated record
CCAGCUCCAGGCAGCUCCUGAUAAGCAGUGCUGUUUGCAGAGGAACCCUCUGUGGACCCCACACGGUCUUUGCACAUGAUGUAAAACUCCAAAUGAAGCUGUCAUCCUAACAUAAUGGGUGUCACAUAUACAAAGCUGCUGCAAUGAUGUCUCCAUUUUACUUGGUAUGGCAGUCAUGGCAAUGGUGGAGGCAAGAGCCAACUUCCCAAGGUCAUUGGUAGGGUUUAGGUGUGUCCCACAUUUACUUAAGGCCCUGUUGCUCUGAGCUUGGAGAUUAUCUGGGAGUCUGCUGAGGCCAUCCACCCCCUUAUUUUCCAGCUGAAGAGAGAUGGGAAGCCUGAGGCACAUGUCGACUUCAGGAGCACAGUAGAGUGGACCACGUGCGUGAGGCUGAUGACCAGAGAUAAAGAAACAGCCUCAGAAGCACUGAGCAAUCUUCCCAAGGUCACAGAGCUCCAGCUGGAACUGGGCUCCCGGUCACCUGAUUUCUGGUUACAGCUACACCUAAUGGAGCAGUCCUGCAGCACCGCAUUUGCUGAAUUACUAAGCACUGUAGCUGUACAUCAAAGCCAAACGCUAGAACAAGCUGCUGUGACAGCAAUUUCGGGUUGAGUCUAUUGACCUGUUAGCUGUCCGCCCUGACUGAGGCAUCAACUACCUCACCCAUUCUGUGUACAACGUGGAGCUUCAAUACAGGGCCAGGUGGGGACCAUCCAUCAGUGUCACCACUGUGUCUAGAAGCCCUCGUGGAGACAGGAGUCGGGGAGAAACAACACUGCCCACAAUGCGUGAGCUGGGAAACAGGUUCACAUAACAUCUGAUUUGCUACUCUACCUCUCAGAUAGAGCCUUAUCUGGGAAACAGAAAUGAAGAACCCUGUCUGUCCCCUU